This 917-nucleotide ribosomal RNA is filed under the name Salmonella enterica subsp. enterica serovar Muenchen. RNAcentral's name for it is "partial 23S ribosomal RNA". It matches the Rfam family "Bacterial large subunit ribosomal RNA", at positions 711 to 1547 of the family's 2925-position model. RNAcentral also lists the same sequence under 6 other names. Lineage: Bacteria; Pseudomonadati; Pseudomonadota; Gammaproteobacteria; Enterobacterales; Enterobacteriaceae. The record is from RNAcentral.
AGACCCGAAACCCGGUGAUCUAGCCAUGGGCAGGUUGAAGGUUGGGUAACACUAACUGGAGGACCGAACCGACUAAUGUUGAAAAAUUAGCGGAUGACCUGUGGCUGGGGGUGAAAGGCCAAUCAAACCGGGAGAUAGCUGGUUCUCCCCGAAAGCUAUUUAGGUAGCGCCUCGUGAAUUCAUCUCCGGGGGUAGAGCACUGUUUCGGCUAGGGGGCCAUCCCGGCUUACCAACCCGAUGCAAACUGCGAAUACCGGAGAAUGUUAUCACGGGAGACACACGGCGGGUGCUAACGUCCGUCGUGAAGAGGGAAACAACCCAGACCGCCAGCUAAGGUCCCAAAGUCAUGGUUAAGUGGGAAACGAUGUGGGAAGGCCCAGACAGCCAGGAUGUUGGCUUAGAAGCAGCCAUCAUUUAAAGAAAGCGUAAUAGCUCACUGGUCGAGUCGGCCUGCGCGGAAGAUGUAACGGGGCUAAACCAUGCACCGAAGCUGCGGCAGCGAACGUAUCACUUAAAGCGAUUCAGCGGGUUACGAUUGACGGAGCGAAGCGACGUCAAAGCGUAUACAAAGUCGAGUCGGUUUAAGGAUACGUUCGUUGGGUAGGGGAGCGUUCUGUAAGCCUGUGAAGGUGGCCUGUGAGGGUUGCUGGAGGUAUCAGAAGUGCGAAUGCUGACAUAAGUAACGAUAAAGCGGGUGAAAAGCCCGCUCGCCGGAAGACCAAGGGUUCCUGUCCAACGUUAAUCGGGGCAGGGUGAGUCGACCCCUAAGGCGAGGCCGAAAGGCGUAGUCGAUGGGAAACGGGUUAAUAUUCCCGUACUUGGUGUUACUGCGAAGGGGGGACGGAGAAGGCUAUGUUGGCCGGGCGACGGUUGUCCCGGUUUAAGCGUGUAGGUGUGUGUUCCAGGUAAAUCCGGUU